CCUCAGGAAGCCGAGCUUGCCUGGAUUCCCACCAUGGCCUGGGCCCCUCUGCUCCUCACGCUGCUCACUUACUGCUCAGGUUCUCUCGCCCAGUACGUGUCUGUGUCUCCAGGGCAAAAUGCUCAACUCACCUGCUCAGGGAACAACAUUGGGAGCUACCAUGUGCAGUGGUACCAACAGAAACCUGGCAGUGCCCCCCUACUGCUUAUCUAUCACAGUAGUAGUAGACCCUCCGAAAUCCCUGUUCGAUUCUCUGGGGCCAACUCCGGUAACACGGCCACGUUAACCAUCACUGGAGUCCAGGUGCAGGACGAGGCUGAUUAUCACUGUCAGGUGUGGGACAGCAGCAGUGAUCAGUAG
Molecule: non-coding RNA, 360 nt
Organism: Mauremys reevesii (Reeves's turtle)
Lineage: Eukaryota; Metazoa; Chordata; Testudines; Geoemydidae
Source: the annotation of a RefSeq genome assembly